UGACCUCGAAUCAGGUAG
This 18-nucleotide ribosomal RNA is filed under the name Suillus lakei. Its description in RNAcentral is "partial 28S ribosomal RNA". The record is from RNAcentral. Lineage: Eukaryota; Fungi; Basidiomycota; Agaricomycetes; Boletales; Suillaceae. RNAcentral also lists the same sequence under 7 other names.